GACGAACCGUGCGAACGUUGUUCGGAAUCACUGGGCUUAAAGGGCGCGUAGGCGGAGGGUCCAGUCGGUGGUGAAAUCCUUCCGCUUAACGGGAGAAUGGCCGCCGAUACUGACUCUCUCGAGGGAGGUAGGGGCAUGUGGAACUUCCGGUGGAGCGGUGAAAUGCGUAGAUAUCGGAAGGAACGCCGGUGGCGAAAGCGACGUGCUGGACCUCUUCUGACGCUGAGGCGCGAAAGCCAGGGGAGCAAACGGG
Molecule: ribosomal RNA, 253 nt
Filed under: uncultured Gemmata sp.
Lineage: Bacteria; Pseudomonadati; Planctomycetota; Planctomycetia; Gemmatales; Gemmataceae
Description: partial 16S ribosomal RNA
Rfam family: Bacterial small subunit ribosomal RNA
Source: RNAcentral